GGACGGUUAGCUCAGUUGGCUAGAGCACCUCGUUUACACCGAGGGGGUCAUAGGUUCGAGUCCUAUACCGUCCACCA
This 77-nucleotide transfer RNA is filed under the name Candidatus Nomurabacteria bacterium. RNAcentral's name for it is "tRNA-Val". It matches the Rfam family "tRNA". Rfam says of the family: Transfer RNA (tRNA) molecules are approximately 80 nucleotides in length. The record is from RNAcentral. Lineage: Bacteria; Candidatus Nomuraibacteriota.